Molecule: ribosomal RNA, 247 nt
Filed under: uncultured bacterium
Lineage: Bacteria
Description: partial 16S ribosomal RNA
Rfam family: Bacterial small subunit ribosomal RNA
Source: RNAcentral
UAGUCCACGCCGUAAACGAUGAAUACUAGGUGUAGGGGGUAUCGACCCCCCUGUGCCGGCGCUAACACAAUAAGUAUUCCGCCUGGGAAUUACGAUCGCAAGAUUAAAACUCAAAGGAAUUGACGGGGGCCCGCACAAGCGGUGGAGUAUGUGGUUUAAUUCGACGCAACGCGAAGAACCUUACCAGGUCUUGACAUUGAUCGCCAUCGGUGGAAACACCGAAUCCUCCCUCGGGAGGCGAGAAAAC